This 75-nucleotide transfer RNA is filed under the name Bacillota bacterium. RNAcentral describes it as "tRNA-Pro". It matches the Rfam family "tRNA". From Rfam's summary of the family: Transfer RNA (tRNA) molecules are approximately 80 nucleotides in length. Their secondary structure includes four short double-helical elements and three loops (D, anti-codon, and T loops). Lineage: Bacteria; Bacillati; Bacillota. The record is from RNAcentral.
CGGGGUGUGGCUCAGCUUGGCUAGAGCGCCUGGUGUGGGACCAGGAGGUCGCAGGUUCGAAUCCUGUCACCCCGA